Molecule: non-coding RNA, 70 nt
Organism: Ophiobolus disseminans
Lineage: Eukaryota; Fungi; Ascomycota; Dothideomycetes; Pleosporales; Phaeosphaeriaceae
Source: the annotation of a GenBank genome assembly
AGGUCGCUGACAAGUCUGCAGUGUAGGAUUGCAGAUCCUGAGGUAACCGGUUCGACUCCGGUUCGGCCCU